GUCUACGGCCAUACCACCCUGAACGCGCCCGAUCUCGUCUGAUCUCGGAAGCUAAGCAGGGUUGGGCCUGGUUAGUACUUGGAUGGGAGACCAAAAGCGUUUGUGAACA
This 109-nucleotide ribosomal RNA is filed under the name Marmota monax (woodchuck). Lineage: Eukaryota; Metazoa; Chordata; Mammalia; Rodentia; Sciuridae. The record is from RNAcentral.